ACCAGGCAAGGUGGCGCAUGCCUGUAAUCCUAGCUACUCCGGCGGCUGAGGCAGGAGGAUCUCAAGUUCAAAGUCAGCUUCAGCAACUUAGCAAGGUCCUGAGCAACUUAGGAAGAUCCUGUCUCAA
This 127-nucleotide small RNA is filed under the name Marmota monax (woodchuck). The record is from RNAcentral. Lineage: Eukaryota; Metazoa; Chordata; Mammalia; Rodentia; Sciuridae.